GCCUGGGUGGCUCAGUUGGUUGAGCGCCUGACUUCGGCCCAGGCCAUGAUUUCAUGGUUCGUGGGUUCAAGCCCCACGUUGGGCU
This is a transfer RNA of Felis catus (domestic cat), 85 nucleotides long. It matches the Rfam family "tRNA". From Rfam's summary of the family: Transfer RNA (tRNA) molecules are approximately 80 nucleotides in length. NCBI's taxonomy places the organism in Eukaryota, Metazoa, Chordata, Mammalia, Carnivora, Felidae. The record is from Rfam.